UGGGGAAUUUUGGACAAUGGGCGAAAGCCUGAUCCAGCAAUGCCGCGUGUGUGAAGAAGGCCUUCGGGUUGUAAAGCGCUUUUGUCCGGAAAGAAAUCCUUGGCUCUAAUACAGUCGGGGGAAUGACGGUACCGGAAGAAUAAGCACCGGCUAACUACGUGCCAGCAGCCGCGGUAAUACGUAGGGUGCAAGCGUUAAUCGGAAUUACUGGGCGUAAAGCGUGCGCAGGCGGUUUGCUAAGACCGAUGUGAAAUCCCCGGGCUCAACCUGGGAACUGCAUUGGUGACUGGCAGGCUAGAGUAUGGCAGAGGGGGGUUAGAAUUCCACGUGUAGCAGUGAAAUGCGUAGAGAUGUGGAGGAAUACGAUGGCGAAGGCAGCCCCCUGGGCCAAUACUGACGCUCAUGCACGAAAGCGUGGGGAGCAAACAGGAUUAGAUACCCUGGUAGUCCACGCCCUAAAACGAUGUCAACUAGUUGUUGGGGAUUCAUUUCCUUAGUAACGUAGCUAACGCGUGAAGUUGACCGCCUGGGGAGUACGGUCGCAAGAUU
RNAcentral lists this ribosomal RNA (549 nucleotides) under uncultured bacterium. Its description in RNAcentral is "partial 16S ribosomal RNA". It matches the Rfam family "Bacterial small subunit ribosomal RNA", at positions 355 to 895 of the family's 1533-position model. The record is from RNAcentral.